CCCUUAGAUGUCCUGGGCCGCACGCGCGUUACACUGAUGCAUUCAACGAGCUUAUAACCUUGACCGAGAGGCCUGGGCAAUCUUGUUAACGUGCAUCGUGAUAGGGAUAGAUUAUUGAAAUUAUUAAUCUUGAACGAGGAAUUCCUAGUAAACGCAGAUCAUCAAUCUGCAUUGAUUACGUCCCUGCCCUUUGUACACACCGCCCGUCGCACCUACCGAUUGGAUGGUCCGGUGAAGCCUCGGGAUUGUGGUUCUUGCCGCUUUAUUGUGGCGUGACCGCGAGAACUUGUCUAAACCUUAUCAUCUAGAGGAAGGUGAAGUCGUAACA
This 328-nucleotide ribosomal RNA is filed under the name uncultured eukaryote. RNAcentral describes it as "partial 18S ribosomal RNA". It matches the Rfam family "Eukaryotic small subunit ribosomal RNA", at positions 1470 to 1796 of the family's 1831-position model. The record is from RNAcentral.